AGUCUGAAAAGCUCUAAUCUUUGGAGUGCAUCAAAGUAUAAUGUCUCCACCCAGGGCCAGAGGUGCUCUAUCCUUUUGAACAAACUUUUAAGGAGUGGAAAAGCUGAAACCUAACUAGGGAAACGGGAAGCGGGACCCAGAGCUUCGGUGGCCUUGAAGAACUCGAUCCUGGGAUGUGCUGAGAUCUCCACUGGUGCCUACAAAGAAACACAAAUUCAUCAUAUCACAGUUGCAGCUGGCUUACAAAACCAGAGAUGCUGUUUCUCCAUCUUCUAAGGACCCCUAUGCUCAAGGCUGAGAACAACUGAGACUCCAAGGUCAUGUGACUUAGGAUUAUACUACUAAUUAUAGGCUGGAGACUGAGUUCAGACAUGCUCAUCAAUGCCUGGACCCUGCUUCCCAAGCUUCUCUGCGUCUGUGGGAAUUAUUGAGACCCUGCCUUAGCUCUUGCCAAGACCUGUGGGUGCAGAGCAGGGGACAGGGUGGAUUAUUCUGCUCUUUGAAAUGUCUAUUGGGUCAAACCUAUCUGGAAACUCAGAAGCCAAGCCAGGGAGUUUUGAACAUGGGGGUUAUAACAGUAUGGUGGGUAGGGAGGCAGCCAAUCGUCCAGCAUCUGGAAUGAAGCCACACCACACUCUUCCCUGUGCCCCCAGCCCUCAGGCUUGGAAGAGCUCCCUGCCCCACUCCCUCCCUUCCUCCCUUCCUUCCUCUGUCCCCUCCACUAAUGAAUGCUAUCACCUCUCCUGCCUCCCUUCUUAUACCAAAAAUCUCAUCUCCUCCUAGACCUAUAUACUAUAGAAACAAAACAAACAAGCAACAAUAAAACCCUAAAUUAACACAUAAUAGGUCACCCAGGCAAGCAUGAAUAAAUGUUGGAAGGUUUUUUGUUUUUUGGGUUUGUUUGUUUUUUUUUUUUUUUACUAUAAAUUCCUUAUGCCAA
RNAcentral lists this long non-coding RNA (940 nucleotides) under Mus musculus (house mouse). RNAcentral's name for it is "RIKEN cDNA A830008E24 gene, transcript variant 3 (A830008E24Rik)". The record is from RNAcentral. Lineage: Eukaryota; Metazoa; Chordata; Mammalia; Rodentia; Muridae.